Long non-coding RNA from Cavia porcellus (domestic guinea pig), 536 nucleotides. RefSeq lists it as uncharacterized. The record is from RefSeq and is a predicted model, not a curated record. Lineage: Eukaryota; Metazoa; Chordata; Mammalia; Rodentia; Caviidae. The transcript has 3 exons.
GAGUGGAAGUGUAAAACCUCACUGGGCUCAGUGCCUUUAGGGAGGUGACAAGAAACAUGCUUCUAUGAGUGAGCAUGAAUAACUAGUGGGUGACAAGGGGCAUGGCAAAGUCUGUGGCCAAUUUGAGAGUUCAUGCUCCACCUGUAGGUAUGCAAAUGAAAGCAAAUGAGGUGGGGUUUUGCUGGGCACCCAUACCGAGCAUCUUCAGACCUGUGGCAUCAGCCCACUGUGGGAUGCAGGUGUGACGGAGGGAAAGCUGCACCACACACACGAUGCAAGAAGUUUCUUUGAAGAUGGGAAAAGGAGCAAAGAAGCAUCAGGAGGAUGUGCCUGUCCGGAGCUCCACUGCGAGUAGAUUCAGCCCAGCCGUGCCUGCAGCUUGCCUCGACACUCAGGACUCCAGCCAGACAUGACUUGAGUCUCUCCAUCCUCGGAAUUCCUGUAGCCUUCACUGCCUUACUUCCCAUUUUGAAUUUUUAUUGUACUUCCCUUCAGCCUUAUGAUCUUUCUUCUGUAUAUGUGUUACUUCUCCAUGU